This 76-nucleotide transfer RNA is filed under the name Peptococcaceae bacterium. Its description in RNAcentral is "tRNA-Lys". It matches the Rfam family "tRNA". Rfam says of the family: Transfer RNA (tRNA) molecules are approximately 80 nucleotides in length. Their secondary structure includes four short double-helical elements and three loops (D, anti-codon, and T loops). Further hydrogen bonds mediate the characteristic L-shaped molecular structure. tRNAs have two regions of fundamental functional importance: the anti-codon, which is responsible for specific mRNA codon recognition, and the 3' end, to which the tRNAs corresponding amino acid is attached (by aminoacyl-tRNA synthetases). tRNAs cope with the degeneracy of the genetic code in two manners: having more than one tRNA (with a specific anti-codon) for a particular amino acid; and 'wobble' base-pairing, i.e. permitting non-standard base-pairing at the 3rd anti-codon position. The record is from RNAcentral. RNAcentral also lists the same sequence under 1 other name. Lineage: Bacteria; Bacillati; Bacillota; Clostridia; Eubacteriales; Peptococcaceae.
GAGCCAUUAGCUCAGUUGGCAGAGCACCUGACUUUUAAUCAGGGUGUCGAUGGUUCGAAUCCAUCAUGGCUCACCA